Blyttiomyces helicus is the source of this 81-nucleotide non-coding RNA. The record is from the annotation of a GenBank genome assembly. NCBI's taxonomy places the organism in Eukaryota, Fungi, Chytridiomycota, Chytridiomycetes.
GCCCGGUUAGCUCAGUUGGUAGAGCGCGAGGCUUUUACGCUUGAAACCUUGAGGUCGUGGGUUCGACCCCCACAUCGGGCG